Molecule: ribosomal RNA, 253 nt
Filed under: uncultured bacterium
Lineage: Bacteria
Description: partial 16S ribosomal RNA
Rfam family: Bacterial small subunit ribosomal RNA
Source: RNAcentral
UACGUAGGGGGCAAGCGUUGUCCGGAUUUAUUGGGCGCAAAGCGCGUGUAGGCGGCUUGGCAAGUCCGCUGUGAAAACUCGAGGCUCAACCUCGAGAUGUCGGUGGAAACUGCCUGGCUAGAGUCCGGAAGAGGAGUGUGGAAUUCCUGGUGUAGCGGUGAAAUGCGCAGAUAUCAGGAAGAACACCUAUGGCGAAGGCAGCACUCUGGGACGGUACUGACGCUGAGACGCGAAAGCGUGGGGAGCGAACAGG